Molecule: ribosomal RNA, 497 nt
Filed under: uncultured bacterium
Lineage: Bacteria
Description: partial 16S ribosomal RNA
Rfam family: Bacterial small subunit ribosomal RNA
Source: RNAcentral
GAUGAACGCUGGCGGCGUGCCUAAUACAUGCAAGUCGAGCGAACAGAUAAGGAGCUUGCUCCUUUGACGUUAGCGGCGGACGGGUGAGUAACACGUGGGUAACCUACCUAUAAGACUGGGAUAACUUCGGGAAACCGGAGCUAAUACCGGAUAACAUUUGGAACCGCAUGGUUCUAAAGUGAAAGAUGGUUUUGCUAUCACUUAUAGAUGGACCCGCGCCGUAUUAGCUAGUUGGUAAGGUAACGGCUUACCAAGGCGACGAUACGUAGCCGACCUGAGAGGGUGAUCGGCCACACUGGAACUGGGACACGGUCCAGACUCCUACGGGAGGCAGCAGUAGGGAAUCUUCCGCAAUGGGCGAAAGCCUGACGGAGCAACGCCGCGUGAGUGAUGAAGGGUUUCGGCUCGUAAAACUCUGUUAUUAGGGAAGAACAAAUGUGUAAGUAACUGUGCACGUCUUGACGGUACCUAAUCAGAAAGCCACGGCUAACUACGUG